This 524-nucleotide ribosomal RNA is filed under the name uncultured bacterium. Its description in RNAcentral is "bacterial SSU rRNA". It matches the Rfam family "Bacterial small subunit ribosomal RNA", at positions 19 to 518 of the family's 1533-position model. The record is from RNAcentral.
CUGGCUCGGGACGAACGCUGGCGGCGUGCCUAAUACAUGCAAGUCGAACGGUCUUUCUAUGGAAGCUUGCUUCCACUGAGAAGAUAGUGGCGAACGGGUGAGUAACACGUGGGUAACCUGCCCAUAAGAGGGGGAUAACAUCCGGAAACGGGUGCUAAUACCGCAUAGUUUCUUGAUCGCAUGAUCGGGAAAGGAAAGACGGCCUUUGUGCUGUCGCUUAUGGAUGGACCCGCGGCGUAUUAGUUAGUUGGUGAGGUAAUGGCUCACCAAGACGAUGAUACGUAGCCGACCUGAGAGGUGAUCGGCCACAUUGGGACUGAGACACGGCCCAAACUCCUACGGGAGGCAGCAGUAGGGAAUCUUCCGCAAUGGACGAAAGUCUGACGGAGCAACGCCGCGUGAGUGAAGAAAGGUUUUCGGAUCGUAAAACUCUGUUGUCAGAGAAGAACAAGUUGGAGAGUAACUGCUCCAGCCUUGACGGUAUCUGACCAGAAAGCCACGGCUAACUACGUGCCAGCCGCAGC